AAAGAUAUAGUUGAGUUUAAUUUUGAGAAUUAAAUUUAGAAUUUUAUAUUAUAUAAUUUUUUAAAAGUAAUUUUAGUUACUUAAGUUAAAUUAUUUAAAAUUAAUUAAAAUUUGUGCCAGCAAUUGCGGUUAAACAAAAAAUUUAUGUAAAUUAAAAAUAAAUAUAAAUAAUAAGUUAUAUGUUUGUUUAUAUAUUAGUUAUUUUUAAGGUGAAAUUUAAUUAUAAUUAGUCUAUAAGUAUAAUAGAAAUUUUUAAAUUUAUAAAAUAAACUAGGAUUAGAUACCCUAUUAUUGUAAAUAUAAUUAAAAAAUUUGAGUAUUUAAAUUAAAGAUAAGUAAAACUUAAGAAAAUUGGCAGUAUUUUAAUCAAUUUAGAGGAAUCUGUAUUUUAAUAGAUACUCCACUAAUAAAAUUACCUAAAUUAUUUGAAUUUGUAUAUCGUUGUUAUAAAAGUAUACUUAUUAGGUUAAUUAAACUUUAAAAUUCUUAUAAGAAUUUAUAUCAAAUCAAGAUAUAGUUUAUAUGUAGGUUAGUAUGGAUUACAAUUUUUAAUAAAAGUUGAUUUAAAUCUAAAAAUUUUAAAGAGAAUGGAUUUAAAUGUAAAUAAAUUUAAUUUGAUUUAUUGAUUAAUGUUUUAAAAUAUGCACAUAUUGCCCGUCACUUUCAAAGUAUUUAGUUAAUUUAAAUUAAUUAGUAUAUUUGAAAUAAGUCGUAACAAAGUAGAAGUACUGGAAGGUGUUUCUAGAAG
RNAcentral lists this non-coding RNA (748 nucleotides) under Chimarra paramonorum. The record is from RNAcentral. Lineage: Eukaryota; Metazoa; Arthropoda; Insecta; Trichoptera; Philopotamidae.